CCUUAAAGUCUUCUACGAACGGCCCACACGAUGGAGCGGUUCCGAUAUUCAAAUUGUAAUCGUGUACCUGUCCUACUUGAUCGAUCUGUCAUAAAUGUGGCAGCUGGUCAGCUCGAUAGAGGUACCCUCCACCUUUGUUCCUCUCCCCAUCGCUGUGUCUGUCGUCUCCCGAACCCCCGAUGAUGGGUUCGCGGAUGAGCAGAGGCGGGUAGCGCAUGGGACGUAUGGGAGGAGGCGUUCGGCCCGUACCUACGGGAGGCCGGAUAAUGGGAGGUGUCGGUGUCCCUAUACCCGUACCGAUAGGUAGUCGUCCCCGCAUGCCCAUGGGUGGGAGGUCGAUAGGUGUGGUAGUUCCACCGAUAGUGCCAGUGCCUCCCAGAAACGAACAACGGCCGCCACGCCGCCGCCGCCGCCGGAUACCGCGCGUAGUGAACUCGGUACCGGUAGUGCCGGUGCCGCCUAUGAUGGUGGCAGGACGCCCAAUGGUAGUAGUAAUGCCGCCGUUCAAGUUCUUCGUACCUGCGAUGCCAAUACCGGUACCGCCGUUCAAGUUCGUACCGUUCGUGUACGCGGAGAAACCUCCCUUCGUACCGGAGAAACCACCUUUUGUGUUCACCUUUAUCAAAAGAAGGUUCAACUAGAUAGCUCGCCUCACUUGAUUACACUACAACCCUUAUUUAGGCAGAUACAUUAUUAGUUGAGGUAGGUAUAGGGUAUAGGUAUCGUAUAUAUGAUAAUAUUUAUACAUAUUAUUCAAGCAAGACACGCGCGUGCAUAUCAGAUGCAUGUACACUUACAGCCAGCGCUACUUUAAACGAACCAGGCGUGCAUGUUUACUGCUUUCUUUGCGCGCGUUAGGUGUGGGACAUGCCAGCUAGACAUUGGUGCACGGUUAAAUUUGUACGUGGGUGUAGAUAGAUAUAGAUAUUUAUGCUUGCACGAGGGUACGGGAGAGGACGAAAGUCUGUUAAAGCUAGAACUAAUCAAAGGGAAGAAACACGUGUGUUGCUCAGCUUCUCCAGCUCUACUGGUUCGAGUCGUCGUCGUUGCAACUGCUACCGAUGCUCAUGCUCCUUCUUAUGUAGUUGUUGCGCGCGCCCUACUUAGAGAAGUGGACGGCUACCGAGGGGCGAUUACGGUCUGGUUAGUUCCGGGAGCAGAAGUACACGGUGCCAAUGCGCCACCUCACGUCGCACUGCUACGCGCCGUGGCCCCAAGCCGACCGCGUCCGGCCGAUGCGGCAGAUGCCGUACCUGAUGCUCCCGGUGCCGUUCAGCCUGCCGGAGUCCCCGAUGCAGGGGAGGAAGCUGCAGGAGGAGCCGCUGACGCUGCGGAUGAAGUGGCGGCAGCAGCAGCGGUUGGUUAGAGGAGUCGACGGAGCCAAGGACGACCCGCUCAGGUACCCGCCGCGCCACCGCGACGACGAGGUGGCCCGCGCCGGCAGGAUGACCCGCCCGCGGCACGACCACCGCGGGUACACGUUCUAGUGCCUCCUCUACUUCGGCGUGGGCCGCCACUAGUUCCACGACCUCCAGCACUGGUCCAAGUAGGGCUGCACCUUCCACCACGGGUGGUCCUUGCAGUAGCCGCGGCGGAUGGCCUGCGUCCGGUUCGCGCUGCUCUAGGCGGCGUUGGGGAUGACGAUGUUCCCGGCCGGCGCCGAGUUCUGCCGCGUGCUCGAGGAGGCCCGGUCGGAGGCGCACCUCUCGCUCCACGAGUGCGUCCACUGCGACGGGAAGGAGCAGCACGUGCCCCCUCCCCUGUCCCAGUGCCUGGGGAGGCAGUCGGUCGAGGAGACGGCCCUCCGCGGGUCGUGCCUGUUCUGCGAGUUCGAGAUGGGGCCGUACACCGUGCGGGAGUGGAGGCCGCUCGACGGUCUCUUGUAGCUGUUCCAGAAGUAGCUAUAGUAGCGUACCGAGCUAGUGUCCAGGCCAGGCGGACGCUGGCGCGGGCUCUCCCUGCUGACUGCGGAGUACGCGCCGUUGGGUAGUAGGUAUCUUGAAGAAAAGAAAAGAAAAACUAAGUACUGCUGUCACUAGGUACUUGUAAUUAAUAGUUAAUGACAUGUGAGGUCGAUAUGUAUGAUGUAUAUAAAUCCCGAUGAUGAGAGAUGUA
RNAcentral lists this ribosomal RNA (2115 nucleotides) under Triticum aestivum (bread wheat). RNAcentral's name for it is "partial small subunit ribosomal RNA". Lineage: Eukaryota; Viridiplantae; Streptophyta; Magnoliopsida; Poales; Poaceae. The record is from RNAcentral.